Molecule: non-coding RNA, 61 nt
Organism: Pristionchus pacificus
Lineage: Eukaryota; Metazoa; Nematoda; Chromadorea; Rhabditida; Neodiplogasteridae
Source: Rfam
UCUUCAUUUCCCACACUCUCUCACCUGUCAGAGAGGCGAGAGAGUGUGCGAAAUGAAGAGA